This 429-nucleotide ribosomal RNA is filed under the name Bacteroidota bacterium. Its description in RNAcentral is "Bacteroidetes bacterium partial 16S ribosomal RNA". It matches the Rfam family "Bacterial small subunit ribosomal RNA", at positions 355 to 776 of the family's 1533-position model. Lineage: Bacteria; Pseudomonadati; Bacteroidota. The record is from RNAcentral.
UAGGGAAUCUUCGGCAAUGGGGGGAACCCUGACCGAGCAACGCCGCGUGAGUGAAGAAGGCUUUCGGAUCGUAAAGCUCUGUUGUUAAGGAAGAACGAGUGUGAGAAUGGAAAGUUCAUGCUGUGACGGUACUUAACCAGAAAGGGACGGCUAACUACGUGCCAGCAGCCGCGGUAAUACGUAGGUCCCGAGCGUUGUCCGGAUUUAUUGGGGGUAAAGCGAGCGCAGGCGGUUAGAAAAGUCUGAAGUGAAAGGCAGUGGCUCAACCAUUGUAGGCUUUGGAAACUGUUUAACUUGAGUGCAGAAGGGGAGAGUGGAAUUCCAUGUGUAGCGGUGAAAUGCGUAGAUAUAUGGAGGAACACCGGUGGCGAAAGCGGCUCUCUGGUCUGUAACUGACGCCGAGGCUCGAAAGCGUGGGGAGCGAACAGG